ACGGCUCAGUAACACGUGGACAACCUGCCCUUAGGACGGGGAUAAACCCGGGGAAACUGGGUAUAAUACCCGAUAGGUCUCGAUUGCUGGAAUGCAUCGAGAUUUAAAGCUCCGGCGCCUAAGGAUGGGUCUGCGGCCUAUCAGGUAGUAGUGGGUGUAACGUACCUACUAGCCUACGACGGGUACGGGUUGUGAGAGCAAGAGCCCGGAGAUGGAUUCUGAGACACGAAUCCAGGCCCUACGGGGUGCAGCAGGCGCGAAAACUUUACAAUGCUGGCAACAGCGAUAAGGGAACCUCGAGUGCCAGGUUACAAAUCUGGCUGUCGAGAUGCCUAAAAAGCAUUUCAUAGCAAGGGCCGGGCAAGACCGGUGCCAGCAGCCGCGGUAAUAC
RNAcentral lists this ribosomal RNA (391 nucleotides) under uncultured archaeon. Its description in RNAcentral is "bacterial SSU rRNA". It matches the Rfam family "Archaeal small subunit ribosomal RNA", at positions 85 to 476 of the family's 1478-position model. The record is from RNAcentral.